AUCUUUGAACGCACCUUGCGCUCCUUGGUAUUCCGAGGAGCAUGCCUGUUUGAGUGUCAUGAAGUUCUCAACUGCUUUGACUUUGUUGUUGAAGUGAAGUUGGAGUUGGAGGGUCUUUGCUGGCGUGGGCUUGUUGUGUGGUUUUGCUACAUGCUUGCUUGCUUGUCGGCUCCUCUUAAAAGUAUGAAACCUUUCUGGUAGAUC
This 204-nucleotide ribosomal RNA is filed under the name Sarcodon imbricatus. RNAcentral's name for it is "5.8S ribosomal RNA". The stretch from base 1 to 59 matches the Rfam family "5.8S ribosomal RNA", at positions 96 to 154 of the family's 154-position model. Lineage: Eukaryota; Fungi; Basidiomycota; Agaricomycetes; Thelephorales; Thelephoraceae. The record is from RNAcentral.